Molecule: long non-coding RNA, 297 nt
Organism: Armigeres subalbatus
Lineage: Eukaryota; Metazoa; Arthropoda; Insecta; Diptera; Culicidae
Exons: 2
Source: RefSeq, a predicted model, not a curated record
AAGCAAGUGAACAAACAAAACAAUCAGAAAUACCAACAAGAAAAAGGUCCAGCGGGCCUUUUUCUUUUGUUUGUGGCCUUUCUUUGGCAGAAUACUAUUUCCGGAACUCCCGGACGCGCAGUGAACCAGACCCAGCAAGAAGAAGCCUGAGUGAACGUCCAAUCCAGGCCGUCGUUCGGUGUCAGCGACGACGCCAUCUUUCUCCGACCAUCUGCCGGCCAGAGCCGGUUCAAUCCCGUCGACCGUUGUGCGACGACGCCAUCUUCAAUCCCAUCAUCCUCCGGCCAAAGCCAGUGU